GACGAACGCUGGCGGCGUGCUUAACACAUGCAAGUCGAACGGAAAGGCCCUGCUUUUGUGGGGUGCUCGAGUGGCGAACGGGUGAGUAACACGUGAGUAACCUGCCCUUGACUUUGGGAUAACUUCAGGAAACUGGGGCUAAUACCGGAUAGGAGCUCUUGCUGCAUGGUGUGGGUUGGAAAGUUUCGGCGGUUGGGUAUGGACUCGAGGCUUAUCAGCUUGUUGGUGGGGUAGUGGAUUACCAAGGUUUUGACGGGUAGCCGGCCUGAGAGGGGUGACGGGCACCAUGGGACUGAGAGACGGACCAGACUCCUACGGGAGGCAGCAGUGGGGAAUAUGGCACAAUGGGGGGAAGCCUGAUGCAGCAACGCCGCGUGCGGGAUGACGGCUUUCGGGUUGUAAACCGCUUUCGCCGGUGACGAAGCGUGAGUGACGGUAAUGGGUAAAGAAGCACCGGCUAACUACGUG
RNAcentral lists this ribosomal RNA (468 nucleotides) under uncultured bacterium. Its description in RNAcentral is "partial 16S ribosomal RNA". It matches the Rfam family "Bacterial small subunit ribosomal RNA", at positions 28 to 507 of the family's 1533-position model. The record is from RNAcentral.